AGAUGUUUCGUUUUCAACAGAGGAGGAAUGAGUACACUAUUAUAGCUGUUGUAAUAAUUGUGGCUCCAGUAAAGAUUCAUGCAAUAACAGUAUCUAUCACACUGCUUCUACCAGAUCAUAUUGUAAUUAGUGUGGAAAAUAUGGAACUGGAAACGGAAAAAGAAUGGCUUUUAAGUGCGGAGGCUGCAGAGGCCAAAAAAGAGUUUAUGACGAAUGCGCCACGUCAAUAGCAAAUCAUAAGGGUUUAUGUUGGGUAUUUACAAAUUGUUUCGAAGACACA
RNAcentral lists this long non-coding RNA (280 nucleotides) under Mytilus galloprovincialis (Mediterranean mussel). The record is from RNAcentral. Lineage: Eukaryota; Metazoa; Mollusca; Bivalvia; Mytilida; Mytilidae.